CAAAAUAAUAGCAGUAUAAUGUGACUAACCAGAAUAAUCAAGGUUUUUCGUAUAUUUUUUUAUUGCUACGUGGCAAACAAGUUACCAGUAGGUUCAGUAGAUUGUCAGAAAACAAAUGAGACCCAGCAUUCAUGAUAUGCACACUCUUAAGGCUGUGCAAUUGGGCAAUUAGUUGAAUUAGUUGAAAGGGGUGUGUUCAAAAAAAUAGCAGUGUGGCAUUCAAUCACUGAGGUCAUCAAUUUUGUGAAGAAACAUGUGAGAAUCAGGUGGCCCCUAUUUAAGGAUGAAGCCAACACUUGUUGAACAUGCAUUUGAAAGCUGAGGAAAAUGGGUCGUUCAAGACAUUGUUCAGAAGAACAGCGUACUUUGAUUAAAAAGUUGAUUAGAGAGAGGAAAACCUAUAAAGAGGUGCAAAAAAUGAUAGGCUGUUCAGCUAAAAUGAUCUCCAAUGCCUUAAAAUGGAGAGCAAAACCAGAGAGACGUGGAAGAAAACGGAAGACAACCAUCAAAAUGGAUAGAAGAAUAACCAGAAUGGCAAAGGCUCAGCCAAUGAUCACCUCCAGGAUGAUCAAAGACAGUCUGGUUAUUCUUCUAUCCAUUUUGAUGGUUGUCUUCCGUUUUCUUCCACGUCUCUCUGGUUUUGCUCUCCAUUUUAAGGCAUUGGAGAUCAUUUUAGCUGAACAGCCUAUCAUUUUUUGCACCUCUUUAUAGGUUUUCCCCUCUCUAAUCAACUUUUUAAUCAAAGUACGCUGUUCUUCUGAACAAUGUCUUGAACGACCCAUUUUCCUCAGCUUUCAAAUGCAUGUUCAACAAGUGUUGGCUUCAUCCUUAAAUAGGGGCCACCUGAUUCACACCUGUUUCUUCACAAAAUUGAUGACCUCAGUGAUUGAAUGCCACACUGCUAUUUUUUUGAACACACCCCUUUCAACUAAUUCAACUAAUUGCCCAAUUGCACAGCCUUAAGAGCGUGCAUAUCAUGAAUGCUGGGUCUCAUUUGUUUUCUGACAAUCUACUGAACCUACUGGUAACUUGUUUGCCACGUAGCAAUAAAAAAAAUAUACGAAAAACCUUGAUUAUUCUGGUUAGUCACAUUGUACUGCUAUUAUUUUGAACAAUACUGUAUUUAAAGAUUUGAUUAACACAUGAUAACACUGCAAAUCGUCCCAAUUUAUAUGGGAAACAUCUAAAUGUACCAAAAGGGAAUACGUUAUACAUUUAUAAACAUAAAAACAAAAAGGUAAUGAAUACAUUCCAUAGAAUGCAUUGGGGAAAAGAAACCAGUGAUUUGGCUUCUCUCCUCUCCUGUUUGUCCAGGGUGGUCGUAAAGUUUUACGACCUGCAAAAGUGGGGGUUACAUACACAUGACUAUUUGAGAAAAAGCCAGGCUGAGGAGAACAUUUCCUAAAGUAUAAGCUUAGCAACUUAUACUCUUCACAUAACAAGGAUUAACCAUUUUAUGCAAUCCAUAAACAUAUUUAUAAUACAUAUUAAUAAUAAAAUGAAAGUAAGGAACUUAUACAAAAGGUUUCCUUUGUCUCCAGUGUGUUGGAGGAAUUUGGGUUGGGGGUUUUCAUUUCUUCUUUGAGGCUCGCCCACGUGACUCUGGAAUUUCUUGUCGUAAAAUAAUUUAAGUCCAGCCAGGCUGGCGCCAGGCCCAGGCAUUCAGUGCAAAAAGAGUUUCAUUUGGAAAAUCUGAAUUAAACACAUGGAUCGAUGAUCUGCAUAUCCGUUACACACCAUACAGCCGUUAUCCAUUCCAAAGCUCUUCCCGUUAGUAGUGAGCAGACUAAGGCGAUCUUACCAGCAUCAGUAGUGUAAAGGGUGGGUUGUUGCUCGACGAACAGCGAGCAUUGCAGUAGGAAGCCCCUACACUUGGUAGAAUCCCCGUCAAAUUUCUCCGGGUAAGCCAGUCGUGGAUUAACUUGAGUUGGCAUUCCUGCCGCGUGGGUAAUGGCGGCAGCUGCCGAUGGUGGUGACAUUACGGCAGUGCUGUGGAGGCUUUGAACAGCCUUUACCAGUUCCUCUGUGAACGAAGACAAACGAUUCAGUUGAUGCUGAUUAGCAGCAAUUUGACUUGCCUGGGCUGCCAUUGUAGCACACAGAUGAUCGUAAGCCGCUUGAUUCGGUUGUGGCGAAGUCUUCUGUAAUGAGUCAUUACCAGACGGGGAAUCCAUUUUGCAAGCUUUAAUAAACAACUCGUGGUUGUACAGGCAGGGGUCAGAACCAGCAAACACAACAGUAGAGAUAAUCAGAAUCGUCGUCCAACACAGGCAAUAGAUCGGGAUCACAGGCAAUGUUCAGAGUCCAAUAAACAAUCCAAGGUCAAGAGGCAGGCGGCAAAGGUUCAAGAAACGGCAAACAAACAGAACUGGUAAACGGGAAAUCAAAACACGGGAAAUAACGCUUGGAAAUGUCAGCCGGAGCAAAACAAGACUUUGCGUUAGACUGAUGUGGUUGUGCAGCUUAAAUAGCAGUACUCAUGAGCUGCACCUGGGUGGUGAUCAGAGUCCAAUGCACGGGGUAGAUGGGAAGUGUAGUUGUGAGAGAGUGCGUGAGUGUCAAUAUUCCGGAGAUGGGGCCCUCUGCUGGCCAGUAGAGGGAAUCACGGGGUUCGUCUCCGUUACACUAAUAAGUUAGAAUGUGUAAAUCAAAGCGAUUGUAACAGUCUGUUAUUUAACAGUCCAAGUGAUGUUUACAUUAUGC
This is a long non-coding RNA of Carassius auratus (goldfish), 2703 nucleotides long. The record is from Ensembl. Lineage: Eukaryota; Metazoa; Chordata; Actinopteri; Cypriniformes; Cyprinidae.